AGUGAACGCUGGCGGUAGGCCUAACACAUGCAAGUUGAACGGCAGCACAGUAAGAGCUUGCUCUUACGGGUGGCGAGUGGCGGACGGGUGAGGAAUACAUCGGAAUCUACUUUUUCGUGGGGGAUAACGUAGGGAAACUUACGCUAAUACCGCAUACGACCUACGGGUGAAAGCAGGGGAUCUUCGGACCUUGCGCGAUUGAAUGAGCCGAUGUCGGAUUAGCUAGUUGGCGGGGUAAAGGCCCACCAAGGCGACGAUCCGUAGCUGGUCUGAGAGGAUGAUCAGCCGCACUGGAACUGAGACACGGUCCAGACUCCUACGGGAGGCAGCAGUGGGGAAUAUUGGACAAUGGGCGCAAGCCUGAUCCAGCCAUACCGCGUGGGUGAAGAAGGCCUUCGGGUUGUAAAGCCCUUUUGUUGGGAAAGAAAAGCAGCAGGUUAAUACCCCGCUGUUCUGACGGUGCCCAAAGAAUAAGCACCGGCUAACUUCGUG
RNAcentral lists this ribosomal RNA (492 nucleotides) under uncultured bacterium. Its description in RNAcentral is "partial 16S ribosomal RNA". It matches the Rfam family "Bacterial small subunit ribosomal RNA", at positions 29 to 507 of the family's 1533-position model. The record is from RNAcentral.